This 636-nucleotide ribosomal RNA is filed under the name Triticum aestivum (bread wheat). RNAcentral describes it as "partial small subunit ribosomal RNA". The record is from RNAcentral. Lineage: Eukaryota; Viridiplantae; Streptophyta; Magnoliopsida; Poales; Poaceae.
AUGAACAAAGCCGAGGAGGGUUUUCUGCUUGUUAAGCUUAAUGAGUUUAACAAGUCAAGCCUUCAAGAGUACGAGUUUAACGAGCUGAGCAGCUUGUUAAUCCACCCUUACUCUCGGCUGCAACAAUGGUACAAACACAACAAUUUUAUUCUACACAUAUCAUGUAGGUUCACGAGAUCUUUAGAUGGAUUUGGUGCGUCGCGUGACACGCGCAGAAAGCGGCUUCUUCAUCACCUUGAAGAAGGAAUCCAGCUCCGUGAGGUCAAUGGCGAUGGUGCCAGUCGGCGGCGCCCACUCGAACUCGCGCACGAGCGCCGCCAAGAAGCACUUCAUGUUCACCAUCGCCAUGCCCACGCCAGGGCAGAACCUAUGCCCGGCGCCAAAUGGCAUCAUCCUUAUCUGCUUGGGCCCCGGCAACGGGCCGAUGCCCUCCCCGUCGCCGCCGGUCAGGAACCUCUCCGGAAGAAACUCGUCGGGAUCCUUCCAUAUCUUGCUGUCCCUACCAAUGUCCCCUGCAGAGAAAUUCACGUAAAAGUCGCCGGCCGGCGGCGGCCCGGCCAUUCCUCCGACCAGCACCCCGACGGAAUCGGCAUGGACAUGGCGUGGGAUGACCGGCAGCGGCGGGUGCAUGCGUAG